AGUAGACGUUCAGAGUUUGAUCCUGGCUCAGGACGAACGCUGGCGGCGUGCUUAACACAUGCAAGUCGAGCGGUAAGGCCUUUCGGGGUACACGAGCGGCGAACGGGUGAGUAACACGUGAGUAAUCUGCCCUUCACUUUGGGAUAAGCACCGGAAACGGUGUCUAAUACCGGAUAUGAGCGCAUCGCGCAUGUGGUGUGUUGGAAAGUUUUUUCGGUGGGGGAUGUGCUCGCGGCCUAUCAGCUUGUUGGUGGGGUAAUGGCCUACCAAGGCUUCGACGGGUAGCCGGCCUGAGAGGGUGACCGGCCACACUGGGACUGAGACACGGCCCAG
Molecule: ribosomal RNA, 333 nt
Filed under: uncultured bacterium
Lineage: Bacteria
Description: bacterial SSU rRNA
Rfam family: Bacterial small subunit ribosomal RNA
Source: RNAcentral